This is a long non-coding RNA of Polypterus senegalus (gray bichir), 4005 nucleotides long. RefSeq lists it as uncharacterized. The transcript is spliced from 2 exons. The record is from RefSeq and is a predicted model, not a curated record. Lineage: Eukaryota; Metazoa; Chordata; Cladistia; Polypteriformes; Polypteridae.
UAAUGUUGAUUGUUAUCUAAAUUUCAGGUCAAGAACCAGGCCUUUUUGAUGUUGUAAUUAUUAAUGAUGAUUUGGAAGAAGCCUAUAGCAAAUUAAAGAGUGCUCUUAUUGCGGAAAUUGUGAAGGUCCAAGAUUCCAGGAAGGAGUAACAUAGCAUUAUCUUUUUUUACUACCUCAUUCCAUGGAAGAAAUUUCCUUUGCUCGCAUUCCUUUUUAACUGUCCUUUCACAUGAUAGCCUGUCUGUAAUUCUAAGAGAUAUAUUGCAUUUGUUUUACAUUCUAUAUCAGUGAAACAAUUCUUUUAUUUUCUUGCUUUGAAGGCCACAUACUUUGGGCUUGUUUAUUAAAAAAAAAGAAAACUUUUGCCUUUUAAAAUUUAAAUUGUAACAAAUUGCACUCCCAAUUUAUUUAGAUGAAAUCCUGAUUGAUUAUUUAUGAGAUUACACAUAGUAUCUAGUAUCCAUUUCAGAAAACCUUGAAUCAUGUCCAGAUAAAGUGUAUUCAUUAUUUGUUAGAACUAUCUGUAUGUGUUUGUUUACCCUAAAAAUAAGUUUUAUUUGUGCAUACUGUAGUAGCUGACUUCCACUGCAGCCUAAACCCUAUCUGUAUAAAGUGAAUGUAUGUAGAGAGAUUUGUUUCAACAGGAGCUCUUCAGUUAGGGGCACACAUCUUUUUUAUUGUGAAAAGUAGUUAAAUUGAUGUUUUUUUUAAAGAAAGUUUAAUAUUUUUAUAGUUUUAUGUCAGAUGUUUCAUUAUUUUAUUAGGAAAGGUUAUUUGACUCUCUACGCAUGAUUAUUAAUUUCAGUAAAUAGUGAAACCAUCUAAAAAAUGUUUUCACACUUAAUUAUCAGGGAUGGGCAUCAGUAACAGCAUACUCAUUUUUUUUAAAAAAAUGUCCAGCAAAAGUAAAUCUUUAAGACCAAAGACAGUAGACUAUGAAUUCCAACACUAUUAUAUACAUUUUUUAAAAAAUACUACUCAUGUUGAACAGAGGGAUUCUGUUUGAAAAUAAAAUAAAAUGAAUGGAAAAUUGACCAUUUUUUCCAUGAUCAUUAUGAAAAAUAACAUACUCUUGUCAGGAAUCUAAUGAACCCUGAAUUUUAAAGAAUGAGGCUGCAAACACAACUGCAUAACAAUAACAACAGCAACAGGUUGUUUCUGAACCGAAUUGUCACACAAAACAUGUGGCUCAAACUGCUUUACAAGAUGUCUCAAAGAAAUAGUUACAAGCAAAGGAAAAACAAGUAAUGCACACUUACAUAAGAGAGACAUGUAAUGUAGCGAAGUAGAGUCCUUAAAUAUAGAAAUUUUUCUAAGUCUCUAAAUGCAAGUCUGAUGAUAAGGUCAAAUGACCAUGAGGAUAGUAAAAAUAAAAUAAUGCAAAUCAGACAUUUGAUGACAAGAGACAGACACCAAAAUGCCAAAUUCAAACUAAUCUUCUAGUAUCCCACUGCCCAUUUAAUUAAAUCUGUCACACCAGGCGAAUGAAUUCAUAUGAGAGCAUAUUAGCCUACACAAAAGAAACCACAAACACAAUAUAAAAACAUUUGUGACGCCUGUAUUUGACAAGAAAAUAUUAUUUACAUGGCCCCAGCCAUGCCUGUUUCUCAGGGGAUGGUAUGUUAGCUUGCCAUCCUGCUCAGUGUGUGUGUGGAGGCAAAAUAAACUUGGAUCCUCUCCCAGACAAGUAGCAGUGCAUUGAUUUGAACUUUUUAAUUAUGGCCUCAACUCUAAAUGUGGGCAUUUUUAGGGGUGUGGCAAUUUUUAUAGCCAUUCCCUUACUUAUGAAGGUGAGCUCAUUUUUCUUUCAUUUGAACCGUGUGUUCUCCUGCCUUUCUCAUGCUGAUGAAUGACUAAGGGAGUUUGGCCUCUGUGACUACUCAUAUGUAUACCCCAGUGAAACAGGACGUCUGAAUUACUGCUUGAAAGUUUCUACACGCUCUGUAAAAAGUCAGAUAUAAUGCUUCAGUUACACUUUGUUCACAAGAGUUUCUAGGGGUGCCAAUAAUCAUAUGGCAUAUGUGGUUUUGUUAAAAAUAAUGAUUUCAAUUAAAGGUUGGAUUUCUCUCAUUUUUUCAGUGUGAGAUUAAGGUAUCUCAGCAAAAGUGAUGUUUUGUUUACAACCCUUUUCACUCCUCUUCAUCAGGGGUGCCAAUAAUUGUAGAGGAGAGACCGUAGUUGCAUACCUUAAAUAUGCAUUUCCUCAUCUGAGGUCCAACUUAAAAAGCAGAUCCAUUUAGUUAGAGUCUUUCGAUGUUUGGAUUCCAUCCUCAGCCCUUCUGCAGGUUACUCUCCGGUGUACAGGCUCUGUGGUAGCACGGCAGCAUGCAAUCAAAGCUUAAACUGGUGAAUAUGACGGUUUCUUUUUUUUCCACAUUUCACCAGGUGUACAGUUGACUUUAUCAAUCCACAAUGCAGCCAUGAUAUUUGAAAUAACAUUUUUGCAACUAGAAAUAUGUCAUAGUAUAGAUAUACACCCACACCAUUUUUAGGAAUAAGAGAUUUUAAGAUGCAAGUGUAAUUACUGUAUCUCUAGAGCAACAUUUGCAUUCCCAGGAAGUUAAUUAAAUUGGAGAAUGACAAGAAUUACUGUUUUCUUGGCUUCAAGAGAAAACUGGUCAGACAUUCAUGGUUCAUUUUUUUAUUUUAUGGCAUGUAAUUUCUAAGUAAUGCUUGCAAUUUCCAUGUAACAAACUGUAUCGUAAAGUGGACAUUUUUUCUUUCACCUUUUGUAAAUGUUAGAGUAAGAAGUCACUGGAAGUAAACGGUUUUCUUUGUUGCUUUAUGGAGGAGCACAAAUGGAAGGUUCUAUAAAGCAGCGUGUAGACGUACUGUCAUUGGAAAUUUGGCAAAAAAAAAUUAAUGCGUAAAAACGAGUGUCUUUUAUGCCUUGGGGUGAGGCAGACAGGUAAGUCCUUAGAAAAAUCAGAGGCCAACAGGAAUUGUAGCGUUUAUUAUUGCGACUAACUGUGCUGCUGCUUCUGCUAGGCUGAUAUGAAAAAUACUCUUCUAUGCUGCCUUAAAGUCACUUAGUUAUGUAGGAGGCAUUCUUGUCGCUUGUCUCAAAGACCACUACCAGAGAGCUUUGACAACUGAAAUGUCAUUCCCAUCCUUUCUAAAAUAAAGCAGCAGACUGCAACCAUUCAGAAAAUUUUUAAUUUUUUCUUUCAAGUUUCAAAUAAACUUACGGUUGGUAAUCUUAAUGCAAAUAAUCCUUGAAAACGCCCAUCCCUGUUCUUGAGUAUUUUACAUUAAAAGCAGGCCAGUCUUUUCUUAGUUGAGGGUUCUAAAAUGUAUCCUUCAAGUCUUUUCUUUUUGUUUUUUUUUUUUUAACCUAACUAAAAUGGGUGUCAGGUGUGGUCUCCUGCCCACACCUCCGUAGACACAACUAUAGAAUUACAGCACUGGACAAGAAGAUAAGACACUACAUACAUCACGCAAAUGUAAUUUCACAUUCAUUCACUUCACAGCAAUUUAGAAAUGGCAGUUAAUCUGAUAGCAUGGCUUUGAAUGGAAGAAAGAAAGGUAGUGGUGGAAACCUGUUCACAGAUAGGGAAGACAGCACAAACUUCACAGAAAAAAAAACAUCGGCCUGCUAAUGAAACCAAGUAUCAAGUGCUGUUGCAUAGCAUAGGAUGCGUAUGUUUUUAUUGAAAAAGACAAUUUUGUUUGUUCUAACCUUGCAGUUGGGAGUUAACAUUAUACAUUUUGAAGUGAGCUAAAUUAAAUUGCACAGAUAUUGCAGAUGUUGGAUUAUAUUAAGAUAGAACUGUCAAGGAAGUAUGAAUUAUUGGUUUUACUUCUCAGGAAAUAGAAUAUACUAAUAACACUCCUUUUUCAGUCUCUGAAUGCCAUAUUGUAACAUGUAUGUGUUGUAUCCUGUUUUAUGCUGCUUAAAAAUUUGUUUGAUGUACUUUUUGUGAAAACAAAACUGUUAAUAAGUGGGUAUGUCUAGCAGAACAGUUUGAAAUAGUGCACAAUAAAAUAACUUCUACAUUAAUACUA